UGCCAGCAGCCGCGGUAAUACGGAGGGGGCAAGCGUUGUUCGGAAUUAUUGGGCGUAAAGGGCACGCAGGCGGCUAGGCAAGUUGGUGGUGAAAGCCCUCGGCUCAACCGAGGAAUUGCCCCCAAAACUGCUUAGCUUGAGUCCCGGAGAGGGUGACGGAAUUCCCAGUGUAGCGGUGAAAUGCGUAGAUACUGGGAGGAACACCAGUGGCGAAGGCGGCUUUCUGGACCGAUACUGACGCUGAGACGCGAAAGCGUGGGGAGCAAACAGGAUUAGAUA
This 279-nucleotide ribosomal RNA is filed under the name uncultured bacterium. RNAcentral's name for it is "partial 16S ribosomal RNA". It matches the Rfam family "Bacterial small subunit ribosomal RNA", at positions 506 to 784 of the family's 1533-position model. The record is from RNAcentral.